AUUGAACGCUGGCGGUAUGCUUAAGACAUGCAAGUCGAACGGUAACAGACCUUCGGGUGCUGACGAGUGGCGGACGGGUGAGUAACACGUGGGAAUCUACCUUGUAGUGGGGGAUAAGCCAGGGAAACUCGGACUAAUACCGCAUACGCCCUAAGGGGAAAGGAGCAAUUCGCUAUAAGAUGAGCCCGCGUCUGAUUAGCUAGUUGGUGAGGUAAAGGCUCACCAAGGCGACGAUCAGUAGCUGGUCUGAGAGGAUGACCAGCCACAUUGGGACUGAGACACGGCCCAGACUCCUACGGGAGGCAGCAGUCGGGAAUAUUGGACAAUGGGGGCAACCCUGAUCCAGCAAUACCGCGUGUGUGAAGAAGGCCUGCGGGUUGUAAAGCACUUUUGUCAGGGAAGAAACGGUUCUGGCUAAUAUCCAGAGCUAAUGACGGUACCUGAAGAAUAAGCACCGGCCAACUACGUGCCAGCAGCCGCGGUAAA
Molecule: ribosomal RNA, 486 nt
Filed under: uncultured bacterium
Lineage: Bacteria
Description: bacterial SSU rRNA
Rfam family: Bacterial small subunit ribosomal RNA
Source: RNAcentral